GACGUAGGGAGCAAGCGUUGUCCGGAAUUACUGGGCGUAAAGAGCUCGUAGGCGGGAUCGUAAGUCUCAGAGUAAAUCUCACGGCUCAACUGUGGGGCCUUCUGAGAUACUGCGAUUCUUGAGGAUGUCAGAGGAAAGUGGAAUUCCCGGUGUAGCGGUGAAAUGCGUAGAUAUCCGGAGGAACACCAGUGGCGAAGGCGGCUUUCUGGACCAAUACUGACGCUGAGACGCGAAAGCGUGGGGAGCAAACAGGAUUAGAAA
This 261-nucleotide ribosomal RNA is filed under the name uncultured bacterium. RNAcentral's name for it is "partial 16S ribosomal RNA". It matches the Rfam family "Bacterial small subunit ribosomal RNA", at positions 524 to 784 of the family's 1533-position model. The record is from RNAcentral.